GGGUUAGUAACUUAAUUGGUAAAGGACUUUCUUGUCGAGGAAGUAGAUGUCGGAUCGUCACCGGCCUAGCUCG
Molecule: non-coding RNA, 73 nt
Organism: Glutinoglossum americanum
Lineage: Eukaryota; Fungi; Ascomycota; Geoglossomycetes; Geoglossales; Geoglossaceae
Source: the annotation of a GenBank genome assembly